RNAcentral lists this ribosomal RNA (778 nucleotides) under uncultured Neocallimastigales. RNAcentral describes it as "partial large subunit ribosomal RNA". It matches the Rfam family "Eukaryotic large subunit ribosomal RNA", at positions 24 to 649 of the family's 3401-position model. Lineage: Eukaryota; Fungi; Neocallimastigomycota; Neocallimastigomycetes; Neocallimastigales. The record is from RNAcentral.
AUCUCUGUAGAGUCUGCAUAUCAAUAAGCGGAGGAAAAGAAACUAACUAAGGAUUCCCUCAGUAACGGCGAGUGAAGCGGGAAGAGCUCAAAUUUGAAAUCUUCAAGGUUCUACCUUGACGAAUUGUAGUUUAAAGAAGUGUUUUCUGUAGUGGAGUUCGGUAAAAGUUCUUUGGAAUAGGACAUCAUAGAGGGUGAGAAUCCCGUAUUUGGACCAUUAUUUCCUAGCUUUGUGAUACACUUUCAAAGAGUCGGAUUGUUUGGGAAUGCAGUCCAAAAUGGGUGGUAAAUUUCAUCUAAAGCUAAAUAUUGGCGAGAGACCGAUAGCGAACAAGUACCGUGAGGGAAAGAUGAAAAGAACUUUGAAAAGAGAGUUAAACAGUACGUGAAAUUGUCAAAAGGGAAGCGUUUGACACCAGUGUUGUUUUUCCGAAAAUCAAUUAAGAAUGUUUUAUUUUUGAGGAGUUAUGACUUCAUCGGCUUGCUCCUUUCUUUAUGGAACUUUCUUAAUGCACUUUUCGGUUAACAAGUCAACAUCAAUUUCUUUUGUUGUAAAAGGGUAUGAGGAAGGUGGCUUUCUUUUCGGAGAAAGUGUUUCAUAGCCUUGUGCCUCUGCAAUCGGAGAGAUUGAGGUCUGCAGCGUAGAUCCUUCGGGGUUAGAUACGUUUGUGCUAAGUUAUAGCUUUUCAUAGACAACUUGUUGACUAUGUUUAGUCUUGUGGCUUACUCGCUGACGCUAUUUUACCUACGCUUAGGAUGUUGAGUAGCGACAUACGCAC